UCCAAUUUUAUUUAUAUGUAUAGAUAUAUAGAUUUCAAAUUAUAUAUCAACAACAAUGUUGGGGAUUCGCACUGAAUUUCAUAUUUCCAAGUUUAUGUAAUGCUAUAAGAACAGUUGCGUUUCUAGUUGCCGAGUCCAAAGGUGCCGAACGUGUCUAACGAAAUAACCAGUUCACAGAAAGUCAGUUUGCUGAAUGGUAGGAUUUCGCUCUCUUCCGUUCGAGCGUUCAAGUAGUUAGGACGUGCGAAUACUUAAUCAAAAUCUAGGUAGGAUCAUUUUAUUGUUAUUCUUGUUUAUUUACAAACAAUAUGAUUUCGUAAAAUAGUUUUUCUCAUGUACAGAUUUCUGUUUUUGUUUUUGUUGUAGAUUAGUAACUUGCUGCACAAUGAAGAUUCUCCCUCACCAAUCAAGCCGAAAUUUCCGAAGUUGACCUGUUAUUAAGACUAGGCAUGUGUUACGGCUUCAUUUCAUUAUCUUCCGCUGCUGUACACAACGUGAACUUAAUCCUUUCGAAACUAGGAAAGCUUUGAGCUACAAACCACACUCCACGAUUCUCCUGAACGAAAAGGAUGGUAAUAGCAAGAAUGUUGGGUUCUUCGUGGAUGGUGACGUGGUUGUCACGACACUCUGGAGCAACGGCAACAGCAAGAUGUUACAGAUAUGUAACAUUCUCCCUAAUCAAUCAAGCCGAUAACUACGAAGUUGACCUGUGACUAGGACAAGGCAUGUGUUACGGUUCCGUUUCAUUAUCUUCCGCUGCUGGACACAACGUGAAACUUAAUUUUUUCGAAACUGGGGAAGCUUUGAGCUACAAACCACACUCCACGGUUCUGAUGAACGAAAAGGAUGGUAAUAGCAAGAAUGUUGGGCAACAGCAAGAUAUUACAGAUAGAAAUUAAAGAACCAAAUCUUAAUAUUAAGUCAAGGAAAGCACCUGCACCAGAUGGAUUUGUACCACACGCUUCCAAGUUGGAGAAGUUGUCCAAUAAACCUUAUCUCUAUGCUGAGGCAUCAGUAGUCAAUCUUAAAAAAGGAGUUGCUGAUUUGUUCCAUGUAAUUCUUUCUUUUUUAUAUUGAAAAUUUUGUUACAAAUAUUGCUUGUUUCAAAUAUUGGAUGUGGAAAUGCGUGAAACUGACGCUUCAGGAGAAUGUACUGCAAAAUAUUUCUCAAACAUCUCAAAUUUGACCAAACAAGUCUGUAUAUCUCUAGAUUAAUCCUACAUUUACAAUCCUGACUCAAUUUUAGAAACAGUUAUAAAAUCAUUUGGAUAUACGAAAUAUAAUUUGGAUCUUAUGAACAAUAUUAUAAAAUCGAUGACUUCUAGGGAGAGCCAUCAAAUGUUCGUUUCAGCGAAAGAUUUGGGUAAUUUUGUUAAGGCGGGACAAAUUUUAAGUCUAUUUGGUCGCAGUAUUUCACUAGGAUGAUUUAGAAAUAGUAAUCGUUACUUCUAGUGGUAUAUUUUACAGUCAGGAGUAUCUUCUAACGGACAAGGAGGAAGAUAACAAAGAUGUUCAAAGUUUUCCCGUUCUAGUGAACGAAUUAAGGAAUAGUUUAAAGAAUGAAGCUUUGGAAGAAUUAAAAUCAGUCAGAAGCUUUAUAAUACUUAUUAACUCUAGAAGAAGAGCCAGUAAAGCGGAAAUCACCAAAGCUCUUGAUCAUAAGUUUACAUAUGUAUGAUGUGGGUUUCAUUCAAACUGUUGAUUCAAAUUCACAACAAAAUAUUGAUAUUUGAUAAUGAACAGAGUAUCGAUCAAAAUAAAAGAUAUUUAUGGGCUUUGCCCAUUUGUUUCCAACCAAAUCAUGAUGUCAUGAUGACCUUUUAAACAAUUACAAUAAAAACAUAAAUAUCCCAGCUAAAGUCAAAGAGAGCAUCAUUCUCAUUUUGACUUCUAAAUCUAAAGUUCUCCAUGAUGUGGAAGAAACUAUUAAACAAUUUAGAUUAUGGACGUUCUAAUUCUUCCAUGCAUUAGACAAAUCUUUUUAGAAUAAAUUUGUUCUGAAAGCCGCAGAAUAACCUUCUUUCAGUUGGACAAGAAACACGAAACAAGAUGCAGAACUAUUUCAACUAAUUUUAUUCUUUUGUCCAAUCCCUCAAAUGAAAUGAUUAAAAAGUUGUUGGAAUAUUUAUAUUCUAAACAUCCUGGAUUUGAAAUCAAAUAAUAUGCACUGCAAACUCUUGUUGGCCGAUGAGAAUCUUGAGUUUAAAGAGAAAUUGAUGAGAAUCAUCUGAAGCGACAACAAACUGAACAACUACUCUACGUUAUCGCCAAGAGGAAUGUCGACUGCUUUAACUAGAAACUUCAUGAAAACACUCUCGUGUAAUGCACCAAGAAUUGAAAAACGGAAUCGCAAAGGUGUCAUGAUGGACAAAGAUGGCUUUUUUCAAGAAAUUUUCACCGCAAGUAACAAUUUAACUUUGUUACCCUUCCUUACUUUGAGGGUUUUGUGUUUCUGCAGCUUGGUAUAUUUUCUGGUGGUCUUUCCAGUUUCAUGUUCAGUUCUUGGAACGCAGCUCAGACCGUUCACGUUUGGUCUGGAACUGCUUCCGAGAAAACGCAUGCGUAUCACGCAAAUAUAUUGUUGCAAGAUCAUUUGGAAUACAUUUUUUAGAGCUGGAAUUUUGUUAGUGGGAUCAACCAAAGUUGAUACGGUAUUGGUAAAGUCUCAAUUGAAAUUACUGCAUCUAUUGAACCGAAAUUGAACCUUCAAACUGAUAUCGAUUUUUUCUCUAAAAUGAAUUUGUGCAUGAGACUAACGUAACCUACCAUCACAUAUCAAAUUAUAAUAAUGUUUGUAUUUUAGGUGAAAGCCAUAGCUAUUCUUAACGGGAUGACGGGGCCCGAAAAGACUUAACAGGGGUGAAGGAAGGUUAGUGUAUAAAGUGAACAUUAAAACACAACUUUUACUAUCAAUUUAUUUAUUAUGACAGACGUGGUCCGACAUAACAGCAAGAACUAAAACUAAACUCGCCACACAGAGAAAGGAACUUUCAAAAACGGGAGGGGGCAGGCGAAAAUUUGCGGCCUUAACCGGUUUAAGGCAGACAUUGCCGGUCUGAUUAAGCCCUCUGCGAUAGAAGGAGUGGCAAAUAUCCCCCUCCCAGUCGUCAAAUUAGAAUUUCCUCCGGGUACGUCGGACCCCCCGCUUUUUCCUGACGUGCUAGGGCCUUUGUCAGCUCCGGACGUGCCGCGCCAACCCUUACAACGUUUAAGGAGUAAAAAGCAAAAAAGUUCCACAUAUGAUGCAUACGAAAAAUAUACUCAAUAUUUUAAAAAAAAUAGAGAUGAAGGAGAGAAAUCAUCAACAAAAGAUGGAGGCUUUGGAGAAUAUUGUGGGUGCCUUGAAUACAUCCUCAGCGUCAAAUGCACAGGCCUUAAUCCAAAUGGCCCAGGCGUUGUCAUAGACUGCUGUGGCACUGGACCACAUGGCGGAAGCCAUAAAUAAAUUGGCGCAGUAUCGAUGACUAUUUGUUUUUGUUACUAUUUUUGUUAAAAUUUAUUUUCGGAAUUUCAUUUUUUUUAUAUUAUUUAUUAAAUUUUGUUAUAUAAGCAUAGUUUAUUAUUUUAUUUACAUUUAAUUUUUUUGAAAUCCUUGGGGUGCAACUGAAAAGUUACGUUUCUUAUAAACUUUUUUAUUUUAUCUUUUAAUUCAAAACACUUGACCCAGCGAAGCUCUUUAACUAGUUUGAAAUCUAGCUGUGAUUAAACGGUUACGGAUUGCUUUAUCAGCUGCCAAUUCAGGAUUUAUUCCUCCAACUUCUGAUAAAUUGUCAAAUAAGCCUGAAAAUUAAUUGUUUAAAACUUGUUAUUAUAAAGUUAUUUUAAAAGAUAUAUACCAUCAUCUACGUGAUCAUCUUCAUUUUCAUCUUCUGGUAAAAUCAAAUUAUUUUUAAUACAAAAUUGCAAGAUUUAAAUAAUCUUUUAAAGAGUGGUUAACAUUAUAUUGUUAGCAAUAUUAUGGUCCACCCAGUUUGCAACCCACAACUCUUCGAUGUCAUAGAGGUGGUGUGUUUAUCAGGAGAGAUAAAAUGGCGUUUUGAGUUGUUCCGUUAUUCUUUGCACAGUUAUUCAUAAUAAACCAUGUAUAUAUUUAUAAUAGUGCUUUUAAUGGCAUAACAAUAUUAACAUAUUAAAUAACCAAUACUGAUUUUUUGCUUUUAGCAUUGGCCCAAGAAUCCAAGAUGCUUCUUCAUUAAGUUGUAAGUUCUUAGAACAAAUAAAAAAUUAAACUGGCAUGACAUUUUACAAAGAAAGGAAAUGAAAUGAAUGAAAUGUAACUAAUAAAGAAUUUAAUGAAGAAACUAGAAUCCUUUCCACCAAGUUGUAAGUUCCUUAGGAUAGUUGAGAUUAAACUGGCAUGAAAUUUUAUGAAGAAAGAAAAUGAAAUGAAUUAGAAACGUAAAUAUAAAAGGUGAGUUUCACAUUUACUAUAAAUUAAUUUUGCAUAUUAUCAUUCUGAGUGUGUUGAAGUUUAUGGUUGUAAUUGACUGUU
Long non-coding RNA from Aethina tumida (small hive beetle), 4492 nucleotides. RefSeq lists it as uncharacterized. The transcript is spliced from 7 exons. The record is from RefSeq and is a predicted model, not a curated record. NCBI's taxonomy places the organism in Eukaryota, Metazoa, Arthropoda, Insecta, Coleoptera, Nitidulidae.